Molecule: long non-coding RNA, 24306 nt
Filed under: Arabidopsis lyrata
Lineage: Eukaryota; Viridiplantae; Streptophyta; Magnoliopsida; Brassicales; Brassicaceae
Description: long non-coding RNA (ALYR_LNC001716)
Rfam family: Small nucleolar RNA R72 (bases 8490-8579)
Source: RNAcentral
AGCAUUACUUAUAUUUAUUUUUGGCUCAUUUUACAGGAUAGUAGACGUUUUAUAGGGAUAAAUUUAGAUUUAUCUAAGACUGAGGAAGAAUUGAAUAUAAGUGAGAAAGCACUUGAAAGAAUGCAUGAUUUUCAAUUCGUUAGAAUCAAGGAUAAGAAUCGUGCUCAGACUGAGAGACUGCAGUCAGUACUGGAAGGUCUGAUUUAUCAUUCUCAAAAGAUUAGAUUACUGGAUUGGAGUUAUUUCCAGGAUAUAUGUUUGCCUUCUACUUUUAAUCCGGAGUUUCUCGUCGAACUAACUCUGAAAUACAGCAAGCUUCAAAAGCUAUGGGAAGGAACUAAAGUAAGUAGUUUUGAUUAAAACUUUCAAUUUUCAAUUUUGUAAAAAUCUAUAAUUUGUUUCCGAAAAUGUUUUUUCUUAACAAACUCCAAAUUUAUAGGCCAAUCGUAUCAACAUGAUCUUCUUUGUCAAAUGCAGAAACUUAAAAAUCUCAAAUGGAUGGAUUUGGGUGGUUCUGAAGAUCUAAAAGAGCUUCCCGAUCUUUCAACAGCAACUAAUCUCGAAGAAGUAAAUCUCCGAAAUUGCUCAAGUUUAGUGGAACUUCCGUCUUCAAUUGGGAAUGCAACCAAACUUGAGCUACUGAAUCUUGAUGAUUGCUCGAGUCUUGUGAAGCUUCCAUCCUCUAUCAAUGCCCCUAAUCUGCAGAAAUUGUCUCUAAAUAAUUGUUCACGUAUAGUGGAGCUUCCCGCUAUCGAGAACGCAACUAGUCUCCGGAAAUUGUUUCUCGUUAAUUGCUCAAGUCUGGUGAGAAUCCCUUCUUCUAUUCAGAAUGCGACCAAUCUCCGGGAAUUUGAUCUCACAGAUUGCUCAAAUCUUGUGGAGCUUCCAUCUAUUGGGGAUGCAAUCAAACUUGAGCGACUGUGUCUUGAUAAUUGCUCAAAUCUUGUGAAGCUUUUCUCCUCUAUCAAUGCAACUAAUCUCCAUAAAUUUUCUCUAAGCGAUUGCUCAAGUCUUGUGGAGCUCCCCGAUAUCGAGAAUGCGACUAAUCUCAAGGAAUUAAUUCUCCAAAAUUGCUCAAGUCUACUAGAGCUCCCUCCUUCUAUUGGAACUGCCACAAAUCUGAAGAGAUUGAAUAUUAGCGGAUGCUCAAGUCUCGUGAAACUCCCCUCCUCUAUUGGAGAUAUCACUAAUCUCCAGGAAUUGUAUCUCAAUAAUUGUUCACGUGUUGUGGAGCUCCCCGAUAUCGAGAAUGCGACUAAUCUCAAGGAUUUAAUUCUCCAAAAUUGCUCAAGUCUACUAGAGCUCCCUCCUUCUAUUGGAACUGCCACAAAUCUGAAGAGAUUGAAUAUUAGCGGAUGCUCAAGUCUCGUGAAACUCCCCUCCUCUAUUGGAGAUAUCACUAAUCUCCAAGUGUUUGAUCUAUCCAACUGCUCAAGUCUACUAGAGCUCCCUCCUUCUAUUGGAACUGCCACAAAUCUUUGGAGAUUGAAUAUCAGUGGAUGCUCAAGUCUCGUGAACUCCCCUCCUCUAUUGGGGAUAUGACUAAUCUCGUAGCUUUUGAUCUAUCCAACUGCUCAAGUCUUGUGGAGGUUCCAUCCGCUAUAGGAAAACUUCAAAAAUUGUCUGAGUUGAAAAUGAGAGAAUGCUCAAAGCUAGAGGCUCUUCCAACAAAUAUCAACUUGGAAUCUCUCCGUACACUUGAUCUCACAAAUUGCUCCCAGUUGAAAAGAUUUCCUGAGAUCUCCACAAACAUUAAGUAUCUCAGGCUCACAGGAACUGCAAUAAAAGAAGUUCCUUUGUCGAUCAUGUCAUGGUCUCGUCUUUAUGACUUUGGGAUUUCAUACUUUGAAAGCCUCAAGGAAUUCCCGCAUGCUCUUGACAUCAUCACGGAGCUGCAGUUGAACGAAGAUAUACAAGAGGUUGCUCCAUGGGUCAAGGGAAUGUCUCGUUUACGUAAACUCAAGCUCUACAACUGCAACAAUCUGGUAUCACUCCCCCAACUUUCAGAUUCCCUAUCUUACUUAGAUGCAGAUAAUUGUCAAUCCCUUGAGAGACUGGAUUGUACCUUUAACAAUCCAGAUAUUCGUCUCAAAUUCUCCAAAUGCUUCAAUUUGAAUCAAGAAGCCAGAGAUCUUAUCAUGAACACAUCGACUUUUCAUCCUGCGAUCAUAUCAUGUACACAAGUGCCUGCCUGCUUCAAUCACCUGGAGAUGUUACCGGAUAGUUCUGGGGGUUCCUUGACAAUCAAGUUGAAUGAGUCGCCUCUUCCCACAUCCUUGAGAUUUAAGGCUUGUUUCAUGCUGGUUAUGGGUAACGAAGAAACUGGUGCUGAUAAGAGUUUGAUGGAAGUAAUGAUUAACAUCAGGGACAAACAGAAUGAUCUCAAAGUUCGGUGUACACCAAGCCUUUAUAGUAUACAGCCACUUUUAACAGAGCAUAUAUACACAUUUGAAGUUGAAACAGAGGAGGUGACUUCCACCGAGCUUGUCUUUGAGUUCAAAACACGCUAUAGCAAAUCUUGGAGGUCCCUUCCUGAUUGGAAGAUCAAAGACUUGGGGAUAUCUUGGAGGUCCCUUCAUGAUAGCAAUUGGAAGAUCAAAGACUUGGGGAUAUCUUGGAGGUCCCUUCAUGUAGAUGAGCGUCGAUGGGAUACUGUUAGAAAUUUUAACCCAUUUUCAUCUUUAAUUUAUUUGAAGUUUAUGACGUUGUACGUGUGAAAGAUUAUCAAUGUGCAGUGUUGGGUUAUGUUUAAAAUUUAAAUUAAUUGCAGUGAAGAAGAUAUAUGCAAACAAGGACGGUGAAGAUAAGAGACGAGGAAGAGAAGAAGCUGUUGAGACUUUAAAAUUCAUGUAUUGAAAGCAAGAUUGAAUUUCCCACCUGAUGCAGAUAAAAAGGUACCUUUGGUGUUUGUUGUUUGCUGGACUUUUGAAUUCUUCUUUUGGGAGAUUUUAGAACUGCUUUCAUUGAAUUUUCAGUUUAAGCUAAACAUGUAUUAGGAUGGAGCAAUAUCAAGUGGAAGAUAGGAGAAUGCGGGAUACUCCAAACCUUGGAGGUUCCUUCGUGUUAAUGAACAUGGUGAGGUUAAAAACUUUUAUCCCAUUUCCAUCGUUAAUUAUGUGAUUCUAUAAGUUUUAAAAUUUGUGCAUAAUUGAUACUAAUUGCAGAUAAGGAGAUAUAUGCAAACAAAGAUAGAGAUGUUAAAACCGUAUUUUCAGAUUUGUUUUCAUUUUUAAGUUAAUGUGUUGUCUCUCUGUAACAAAUGAGCCUCUUUUUAUUGAAUAUAUAUACAAUAGAAGGGAAAAAAAACAACCCAGAAAUACAACAAAUUUGGCCCAAAAUUGUCUCUCUGUAACAAAUGAGCCUCUUUUUAUUGAAUAUAUAUACAAUAGAAGGAAAAAAAACAACCCAGAAAUAAUCUAUUUAAGCAUACAAUAGCAGAGCAGAUAUUUUCCAGGAUACAUAAUAAACAGAUGAUGCAUGUUUUGUUUGGACACAAUCUGUGUGUGUUUUAUUUACUUUCCAUAUUAUAGAAACAUGCAAAGUUCCCAUCAAGCUUGCAAGAAGCUAGCGUACUUCGCACCCAGGAGAAGCCUCUGGAUGCACAAGAGGGCGUUCUUGGUGACCUCGGCGUUCUCGUGGUUCAUCAGUUUCAUCACUCGUUCUUUCGCCUUGAGGUCUGUUAAGAUCACUCUCCCCGCUGCAUGGUACUGUAUGAACUGUGAUAGAUCAAAGCAUGCCACCGCCAACGAUCUUGGAUCACUAGACGUGUCCAGGAUCGUGAGGAGGACCCUGAGUAUCUGUAUCCAACAAGUUUUAACAUGUGAUUAGGAGGACCAGCCCGCUUUGUGCCCUUUGAUUACCGAGACAGGUUAAAAGAAGAAAUACCUGGAAGUCAUUUUCCUCAAAGCUUGUGACAUUCUCACGCCAGAAAUUGGCAUCUUUGUGCAUUGGGUUCCAAUCAAGAUGGCCAAGAAGAACCUCUUGCUUAUACUUGUCAAAGGAACUCAAUUUCCUGAUCUUGUCUUUUAGCCCUUCUUCUAGUUGGUUCAGUGCAUCCAGCAAGUCCUUACAAGUUCAGAAUUUAGCGAGUUUAACUAUGACCAUCAAGUACUAAAAACACAUCUAAUGUUAUCGGCAUCACUUCUAUUAACCAAAUUUCUCGCUGUAGCUUUAGCAGAAAUUAAAGAAAUUCAUCUUCCCCACGACAACUAAUAAGCAGCAGUCCUCAGGCUUUGUAUUUAAAUUGUCUUCUUACCUCAUCACUCCAUGCUUGUGUUUUUAGACUGUGGAUAAUAUGUGGGAGUCCAAGAUCAACCAUCUGGGCACCAAAUGUACCUUUUGGAAGCAAGUUCCUGAACGUCAAUAUGACCACCCUGACAACCUGUAAGAUAUAAUACCGUCAAAUAAACAUAAUAACAAGUGCAUGUGCAUCACACCACAUUUAUGCAAGUUAAAGAUCAGACAAAAAAACAUAACUCACCUUUUCCUUUGUCGAGCUCUUAACCACUUCCGUGAGCCUUUGCAUUGUCCUAGAUGUUGCUAAGUACUCUAUUGCAGGCUCAUAAUAGGACAGAAGCCACACGCAGAGACAUGUUUCAUACAAAAUCUGUGGUUAAAAGCACACAAAUCACAGGAAUUAGGUACUGAGAAAUUAUAGCAAAAAGAGAGUUGUUCUUUCUUCUGACAACUAAAACAGAACUAUCUCAUUGUUACUAAUUUGUCCAGCCCACACUUUAGAACAAGGAAGCAAUAUAAAUCAACAGAUUUAGUAGUUAUUUGAAAUUCAAAGUUAUUUUCACCCCCAGAGUGUCUGUCUAGUAAUCACUAAUCACCUUUCUGCCAAGAACUUUGCAUGAUUUGGAAACUGCCAUACUUAUUUACAACUCUAGUGGAAAUUACUUCCCCUAAAAAUAUAGUUACCUGGAUAGAUUGCUGAGUGGAUGCAGGGGAGAUUAAAGGGACAAGUAACUUAACCCCAUCUGCCUGAACAAACGACGAUCUGACAACAUGUUCCUUAAGCAGUGAUGAUAGGCAGCUGAUUGCAAUUGGAACACCACGAGUAGGAUGAGAAGGUUGCUUCAACUGCAUAUCAAAGCCAAGGAUUGUAAUAUCCAUGGUGGACAUCAAAAGCUUUUCUGGAUUCACUAUGUCACAACAUAAAGGUUCCCUAAAUAUCAAACUCGCAUCAACUUAUUAGCCAACAUCAAAGACUUUUUGCCUACUCAGAAUAAUUGUUUGUUUGUGUUAGUGUUUGCAUUUGCGUAAUUUAACAAAGACAUGGUGAGAGUGGAAUUGUUAUUGCUGAUUUUCACAAAAUAAAUGUUAUAUGAGCUCUAGCUCUAACAAUGGCAUUGCCUACAAGACAAAAAAAACUAGCACUUAAAACAACAAUGCAAGACCAACAUAAACUAGAACGAGAGAAAGAGAAAAGAAGAAGAAACCUGAGCACAAAGCCAUUCCACCAACCCUUUGAGAACAUCAUCAAGUGUAGUAAUCUGUUUCUUUGAACCCGAAGCUUCUCCAUUAGCAAUAACACCAUCACCAGAUUUUGGCCUAGCACUAUAUGUAAAUGAGGCUGUAUGUUACAUACAUGAAAUGAUAGAAUUAUGAUAGAUAAGCUUUAUUAAAUACCUUAUUAUCCAGGCAAGGAUCUUGCAGCUUUUUUCUUGAAUGAACCAAUUUCCCUUCCACAGCAACCUGAAAAGAACAUAUCUUUUAGCUUGCCUACUUUUGCAGAUAAACAGACAAAAUCAAGCAUACAGUGACUUUGACUAAACACUUUGUCUCUAUAUAUGUCGUUUGAUAAAGAUCAUCUAUUUUUUUCAUACAGUUUCACCGAGCCCCAACCAAGUUAUUGCCAAUGCUAUUUGGUUGAAGAACAAAUACUACUUGCCUGUAGCUGAAAGCAGUUCCCCCCAAUGGAGCAUAUGUUUCCCCUUUUGUCAGGAGGAUUGUAUUUAGUUUAACAAACUGACUCAUCAUCACUCAAUUCUGGAUCUCAGAAAAAAACGAGCAAGGACCAAGGCAAUAGAACAGAAAAAGCAACGAAAUCUUGUGCUGGACCACUACAAUUUAUUUACAGGACAGAAACAUCAGGUCAAGUGAAAAUGUCCCACUAAACAUAACACACCGAGAUUAAUUCUUUUUUGAAAAAUAGCCAUUUCCAAUCACUAGGAAAGGUUAGGUUCAUUUGACACCAUAGAUACAGUAGAAUACAAGAAAUGAGCAAAAUCCAAGAAGUCCUAGACCUUCCCAAAGCAGAAAGAACACAUACGAUCAAAUAAGCGACUUUAUCCCCCUUAACAAUACUUGUCUGAACCAAAAUACAGUCAUAAAGCUAUACCAUAGGGGCUCACCUCAAGAAAGGCUCGUAAGUAUCCUCAUGUGCCAAAGAUUUAUCAUGGAAUAACCGAGCUCGUGUCGGGUUUUCUGUCAAACAGUUGAUACAUUAAUAUUAAUCGGUAUCUAACUAAAUGAAGAAAAUUUAAAAGCACAUAUCUUCAGGUUCCAUUUACCUGAGAGCAUUUCAUAAAUCAAAGCCAAAACAUAUUCAACUGUUUCUUCCUUGAAUAUAUCACGUAAAAUGCUAACAAACAGAUGAACAUAAGCUGGACCAUCCUGCAAUAACACCACCACAUAUUAUCACUUCAUAACAACAAGGUAAACGCUUGCAUGAUCAUUAUACAAAACUUCAACCACUAAUCAGAAGAAAGCUUUGUAGAAGAUUUACUUCAUCCAGCAACUGUGCCCUUGCACUUUCGGGUUUUUUAUCGUAGCGCCUUAAAUGCUGGAGACUUGUUGCUGAAAUCAGCUUAGUUGUCAUGUAAGUCUCCCAUGGUAUGUCUCUUUUCAAUACCUACAAACAGCAACAGAGAUUGAAUCAAUUCUGCAGAUUUACUUACUUAAUGAAUAAGUAAAUGUAUGCAAAAUAAAAUCACAAACCUGCUCUAAAGUUAGUUCUGCAUGAUCCAUGGAUAUAGUUCAGAAGCUUAAACAACACUUGAGAUUAUUGAACACUACUGAUCCAAAACCCUACAAUUGUAAGACAGAACAAAGCAUAACUUUCUGAAUUGUGACUAUUUUUUCAAUCAAACAAACACGAUCUACAAGCAUCCAUGAAAUGUGAAGAAGAAAAUUUUCAAAAACUCAGAUCAAGUAGCAAACGCAAUUCAAAUACUUUCAAAAUCGAUUGAAUCAGAAUGAUAGAAUAAAGAAAGGAUUUGAUUUAAGAAAAGUGAAAUUGAGUUUUUGACCUGAAGGAGAAGACAAAAGUGAAUGAUCAAGAGAGAUUGAGAGAGCUUCUCUUAAACUCGGAUCUGAAGCGUGGAAGGAAGUUAGAAGAAGAAGAAGAAGAAGAAGAAGACAGCUUUCUAUUUACUGGAAAUUACGAUAUUAUCCCUAUCUUUUUUCGCCUUCGUGUCGUCUUCUUCGGUGGGUCUGACGUUGCCGUUGGAUCUUUCUACGGAGGUUUUGUGUUUACCGGCGAAUCGAUUCCGUUGGUCGAAGAUGGACCCGUCGGUUUUUUUUUUUGCAGGAAUUGAUGUAUAUUUGGGCCUUUGGGAAGCCGAAAAGGCCCAUUAAAGAUUGAUUAAUUAAAGAUUGGUUAAGCCCAUUAAUCAAUUUCUUUUGGAAGUUGAGAUGUGUGAUUGAUUUAGUCAUGGAGUGUUGAAAUUAAUAAUCCAUGGUUGAUAUAUUUUGAUGUAUAUUUGCAGAGGGUAUAUUGGAUGUGUAUGGACAGAAAGAGGGAAUUUGUCUAAUAUUGGUGUUGUUGCUUGACUUUGAAACUCCUUUUGGGAGAUUUUGGAACAUUUUUCAUUGAAUUUUUAUGUUAAGCCAUAAAAAUUUGGAAAUUCAUCCAUGGAAAUUCCAAAAACUUUAUUUUAUUUUUGGGCGGACAACAAUCUGUCAGAUACCAAAUUUUCUAUGUAAAAGCUGUCAGAUUUAGUUUAAGACUAUUUUUUUUUUGCCAGCAGUCAUAAACUAUAAUCUAUAAAUAUUAUUAAACCAAAGGUAAUUUAAUCUAUAAACGGUUUUAUCGCCGUACCCGUAAUCAUUCAAAGCUUUAGAAGCUUUUUUUUUAAAAAAAUUUAAAUCUAAGAAAUCGAACCAAUAAACUUGAAACCAUCAAAAUCCAAACAAAAUCGAAUCGUAGUAAACCAAAAAAGAAAAAGAAAAAACGAAUCACCUAGUGGUAAAUCUCUGUUGGGAUUAUUAUAUUCCUCACAACAGAAUUUUAAAUUUUUAUUGUUUAACUUAACCAUGGUUAACACAUUAAACCCUAGGGUUAGAUUUUGACCACCUUCGUAUAAAUAUAUAUGUAAAACCCUACAUCACUCGCAGCCCCCAAUAAAUUACAUCUGCAAUUCUGCACCACGAAACCAAUUCUGCAUUCUCUCGAUUUGCUUAUCAUUUUCUCUGUUUCUUUUAUACAAUUGUGUUUUUUGUUUCACUUCUUUCUAAUGAUUUUUUAUAGUUGUAUACCCAUCUGAUUGCAAAUGAUGAGUUAAUCACCAUUGAUAAAAGAAGCUCAAAUUAUUGAGUAGUGUUGGAAAUCAUAAACUUCCAUGACUCUGAUGCAAUUUUUAUCAAGAAAACCUCAAAUUCUUGAUCAGUAUUUUUUUUCUGUUCUUUCUCAGAUUUUGUUAAUAAUCAUUGAAUUUUGGUUUUCAAAUCUAUUUUUAUUUGUUAAAUUAUUCGCUACAUUGUUUUUUGACAUUCGAUUUCAGUCAGAUCUACCUAAAUUAUUUCUAUUCAAAAGUAUUUCUCAUUAGUGUUUUUAAUCUAUUUUUUUUAUGCAUAUUUAGGGCAUACACAAUGGGACAAGUGGGAGGAUGUGUGUUAGUGGUAAUUUAUUAUUAAAAUAACUUAAGAGGUUAAGUUUAAAAAUAAAGAAAAAGACUAACCGAAAUCGUUGUCAAGCUUAAAACUGCUGCCUUUAUUCAUCGCAACCACUCAUAGGAAGACAAGUGAGAUAACACCCGAGUGUUAUCACACAUCCGGAUUCAGUCUCCAAACGCACUAUUCCAUUAUUUUCGAUUUUUUUAUUACUCACACCCCUCUAAAAAUUAUCCCACUGUGUAUGGUCUUAGGCCAUACAUAGAGGCGCAACUUUUGUUCGGGUGUUAUAAUUAAAAAAAAAACAAAAAAAAACAAAUAGUGAUGAAAGGGAAAAAAGAUGGGUAUAGACUUACAAUUGGGUGUAAGUGCCACAUGUCUCACUCUCCUUUCUAUUAUUUCUCUAUUAUCUCUCUCCCUCUUCUCUCUUUUUUUUUAUUAUCACAUAAAAAAUAUUCUAACAUAUAUACUCAAGUUUAUUCACUGUGGAUGCUCUUAGUGUCUUAUAUAACUUGAAUUGAAUUUGAUCAAAAUUGAACUUCUGGAUAACCAAACUGAAAAAAAAAGUAAAUCAAAAACUGUAACAGUGACGAAGUAAUGAACAAGAAAAGCUCCAUUAAUAUACACCAAGAGAAAAAGAUGAAGAAGCUGGAAUCAAUCAGUAGUGGUUUUGGUGCCCAAUAGCCGUUAAAAUGUUGUUAUCAUUACAAUUCUCAUAACCAAACAAAAAAUAAACAACAAUGGAUUGUCUUCUGUUCUAAGAAUCGAAGUUACGAAGCAUCAUUAUCAUUGUCCCCAUCGAAAUAUUCAUCGUCUCUUUGGACCUGCUUAUCUCGCGAACGCUCUGAAACAAUCAAACCGUUUACAAUCGAACAUUAGUCACUGAGAAAACAAAGGGAUUAGAUUUCAAGGUGGUUAUCGAUACUUACGAUCCACACGUACAUCCGGGUUUUGUUCAUCUUCAUCAAAAUCCGGUAUGUAGAAAUCCGGUGGAACCUAUGAAAUUCAAGUAAAAAACUGAUCAGUAUUAAGAUAACACCAAAAAAAAGAAGAUUGAUUAAAGCAUCAGUUGUCCUACGAUGAUCCGAGUUUACCUCCUGCAUCUGUACGCUUGGAGCGUGUUGAAUGUAUCGCAAGUUCUCCAAAAUCUGCACUUUGAUCGAACUGAUGUAUGAUUUGGUAUUCAGAUUCUCCUGUUUCAAUUUCAAAACACAAAACAUCAAGUAUAUAGAUUUUGUUAAAGCAAUGAGGAACUAUAAGUGACAUAAGAGCUCCUUACAAUGUGACCACCUGGUAUCUUCAAAGAAAAAUCCGGCGCAAAAUACUUGAUGUAGUCAUUUUCAGGAAUCUCUGCAGAACAAUUAACCCGUGAGCAUGUGACGUUAACCGUACUAUAACAAACAUUAAGAAAUUUACUAACCAUUAGGAAGUUCUGUGUCCAAAAGAAUGCCAGUCUCAACGGUCCAACACCGAGCUACAUUCUCCUUUGUGUAUCCUCCACCUCCUGUAACCUAAUAAACAAUCAGUAAAAAACUGACUCCGUCAUCAACGAACUUAUGAUUACAGAAAGGAGUCGUACAUAUAGAGUCAAGAGAGAUUAAAUACCAGUAAGGGAAGAUUGAACUUCUUCACAAAUUUAACACAUUCGGCAUGUCCUGGAAAAUGCAUAGCAGAAGCCAUUUUAAAACCCGAUUCGCAAAGAAACUAGCAAACGAGAGAUUGAAAGAGAGAAAGAGAUUUUGAUUACAAGAAGAAAAAGCACCAUCAAUAGAGAGAUUAAAGCAUCCUAGUCGAUCCCUGGCCAAUGAAUCUGCCCCACAUUGAAGAACAAUUGCACCCGGUUGAUAUAUCUCAACAACCUUGGAAAUUAUCUAGAGAUCAAAGAAAAUGAUCAAACACACAAAAACAGUGAAAGCAUUGAGAAUUUGAUUGUUUCAGUUCAAGAACUUACUGUCCUGAACAGACGGUUGAAACUACUGUCAUCAAUUCCAUCCUUCAGCGGCACAUUAAUGGCGUAAUAUUUCCCUUCUCUUUCUCCUAUUUCCUUUUAAAAGAAAAAAAAAAACAUCACAAUGAAAAUUCAUCCAAACACAUUGAAACCGUCCUCACAAAUCAGGAAAUGAAUUCUGAAUAUUACUACCUUAACAUCGCCUGUCCCUGGAAAGAACUUAUCCCCAAACUUAUGAAAGCUAACAGUCAUUACUCUGCCAUAACAAAAUUCAAAGAUAUUAGCAAUCAAUUUCUAUAGAAACAACUUUCGAGAAGUAGUGUUAUGGACUUGUAACUGUACCUGUCAGUGAAGUAAAAAGCUUCUUCAACUCCAUCACCGUGAUGAACAUCUAUAUCUAUGUAUAGCACACGGGGAUGGUGUUUUAACAACUCAAGAAUUCCUAGUACAAGAUCGUUGAUGUAACAAAACCCAGAUGCAUCACAUUUUUUGGCAUGGUGCAGCCCGCCCGCCCAAUUUAUAGCAAUGUCACAGAGUUUGUUGUUUAACCUGCGUGCAGCAUCUAUAGACAAAAUUUGCAGUCAGUCAUUUCUCAAAAGUGACAAGCAAACAUUAAUAUCAACUACGUGUAUUUACCUAUGGUUCCGCCGGCGUAAAUUUGACAAAAUUCAAACAAAUCUUCAAAGACAGGACAAUCCUCUCCAAGAUUAUCUGCAUCACAGUAACUUAUUUCAGCAGAACAUGUAGAUUGCAAAACCAAUUAAUGAAGAUACACAACUUACAUCUAGCCAUUUCAUUGGGAAACAAGUUUUGAUUUUCUGGAUUGAUUCGUUGCAGGAAUUCCACGUAGUCGGGAGAAUGGAACUGAGCCAUCUCAAUAGGAUAUGCCUUGUGUGGACGCUGAAACAAUAGAGAACAUAAAAUGAUGUACAGUGAGAUCGUAAACAAAAGGAAUAAAGGAUCAAGAACAAGAAACAUGAAAGAUGAGCAAGAGACUGACAUAAACUUCCAUCUUGCUAUGGAAACCAUAUGCAUGGAUAAGAUAAUGAGUCAUACAAAGCCUGUGAGAUUUCAUCGGGUGAUUCGGACCAAAAUACACGCUCCCCACAUCCCCUGCAACCCAAAAAAAAAAAAAAAACAUUCAGCAUAACAUCACAAUCUCCUAUAAACUGCCACAAAGGCUCGAUCAUCAACAAGAAAAUAAUCUGAAACUCUCAUCAGAGUUUGAAUCAUGCAGAACAUCUUGAAGUACGAAAAAGGGAAGUUAUAAAAGUCAGAGAGAGACUUCACGGUUCCAGCCUCUGCAAACAGAGGCGAUGACAGGGAACUGUUUGUAGGAGGCGCGAAGGAGACACUCGCGAGCAACGUCGUCGGAAAGAUUGGGGAUAAGUUCCAUCGAGAAAGUAUCAAAGAUUGAAACUUUUAUUUAUCUGUUUGUGGAAAAGUGAAGAAGAUUGAAGCUUUAGAAGAGGGAGAGAUAUUGAAACAGUUUUAGUAAAAGAGAGAAUUUUGGAUUGAGAGCAGGUUGAAGAUGAUGAUGAUGGUGAUUGUGAAUGGGGAAGAGGAGAGUGUGCCGCUUUAUAGAUAUUUGAAGAUAAGUGUUUAAUUCUAGAAACUUGUUGAUUCAUUCCUCGUUUUUUUUUCUUUAAUACUACAAGUUUGAGCAACUGGAUUGUGGAAUUUCCCUCGUUUUUCAGAUUGCUCGCAAUUGAAAAGUUUUCCUGAGAUUUCUAAUAAUAUUGUGGAUUUCAAACUCCUAGGAACUGGAAUCAAAGAGGUUCCUUUGUCGAUCAUGUCGUGGUCUCGUCCUUUAAAAUUUCGGAUGUCAUACUUUGAAAGCCUCAAGGAAUUCCCGCAUGCUUUUAACAUCAUCACGGAGCUGGUUUUGGUAAGGGAAGAUAUACAAGAAGUUCCUCCAUGGAUCAAGGGAAUGUCUCGUUUACGUAGACUUAGACUCUACAACUGCAAUAAUCUGAUUUCACUCCCCCAGCUUUCAAAUUCCCUAUCUUGGAUAGAUGCAAAUAACUGUAAGUCUCUUGAGAGACUGGAUUGUUCCUUUAACAAUCCGAAGAUUUGUCUCCACUUCGCCAACUGCUUCAAACUGAAUCAAGAAGCCAGAGACCUCAUCAUACACACAUCAACUUCUAGAUAUGCUAUAUUACCGGGUGCACAAGUACCUGCCUGCUUCAAUCACCGACCUACUGCUGAAGGUUCCUUGAAAAUCAAGUUGACUAAGUCACCUCUUUCUACAUUCUUGAGAUUUAAGGCUUGUAUCAUGCUGGUUAAGGUUAAUGAAGAAAUGAGUUUUGAUCAGAGAUCGAUGAGAGUAGAAAUUGACAUCAAGGACGAACAGAAGGAUCUCAAAGUUUUGCGUACACCAAGAGGCUUUACAAUAGAUCAACUUUUAACAGAGCAUAUCUACACAUUUGAACUCGAAGUAGAGGAGGUGACUUCCAUGGAUCUUGUCUUUGAGUUCAAAACAUACAAUAGAAAAUGGAAGAUCGGAGAAUGUGGGCUACUCCAAAUUUUGGAGGUUCCUUCAUGUUAAUGAACAUGAUAAAAGCUUCAGAGAUGGCAUUAGAGGGAGGAGGUUAGAAGGUUUUAUGCCAUUUUCAUCUUUAACUAAUAAAAAUUGUGCAUUACUUAUGCUAUACUUGUGUAUGAUUAUCAAUGUGUAUUGUUGGGUAAUUUCUAAUUGAAGUUAUUUGCAGAAAUGAGAUAUAUACAAACAAAGACAGUGAAAAUAGAGAUGAGGAGGGAAAGAAGGAAGAAUCUAUGUCAUGAGUAGAAGAAUCUGAAAAUCCAACACUAGGAAGCUGUGGCGACUUUGAAGUUCAUGGAAUUGAGAUAACAUCAUUAUCUAGACUGAUUAAGGCAUUUGAUUUCAGAGAAUUUGAUCUUGUUCUUGCAAUGAAUGAACAAACCAAAGGUAGAGUAAAGAGUAAUUAUUCAACAUUCAACCAAAAAUAUUAUGUGGUUAGAAGUGCUUAGUUUUUGAAGAGUUGAAGUUAACUUCAGUUAUUGAUGAAUGUUGAUGUUUUGCAGAGGACAUAUUGAAGUCUUUUAAUGUACAAAAUCAAGAGGGAAUUUCCCACCUGAUGAAGAUAAAAAAGUACCGUUAGUGUUUGUUCUUUAGAAAGUUGCUCCUCUAGUUAGGUUAAUAAGCAUCACUUUAGAGCUCAUUUAGUUGUAAGUCAAUAAAGUCACUAUAUAAGGUCGUUUAGGCAAAGAAGUAAACGGGAGUCAUCAUAUGGGGCAGUUAACUCGGUUGGUAGAUGUGGGGCUUAGUUUGCACUUCUCUUAAUGCGUCUUUCAAUUCAAAUGCUUAUAUUCCUGGUUGAUCUGUUUUGUUAGGAGAAAGCUCACAUGGAAACUUGAAUAUUGAUCUCUUAAUUACUUGGUCUACUUGUUUUCUUUGACAGGUACUGGUCUUGGUAGAAGAUGCAUGUGACUGUUUACUGGAUAGUAUCACUACGGCAAGUUGAUGAAAUUGCAAGUUCAAAAUCUUAAUUCCGGAACUAUUAGGAAGACUUUAUGCCUUUAAGAGAAUCCCACAAUCAACAUUUUGGCAAAUUUGAUUCAACAAAGCUGCAUCUGAGAUUUUCUUUGUAAUUGGUUGUGAAUAUUAUGAUAAGUUCGUUGCCGCAGCUUGACCAUAAACCAUCUAUGUAAUUUAGCAGUCCAGACAGUGUCACCUUUUUUGUACCGUGGGUCAUAAGUUUCGUCGGCCUCCAGAUGUGGUUCAUCAAAAGUCUUAUCUUCCAACUCGAUCAAACAAUCAAUAUCUUCCACAACAAUAAUCGAACGAUUAGCAGUCGCAAUUAGCUAUCGCCAGAGCUCGGAAUUGUUGUUUACUAUAGACAACUCUAAGUCAUAAAUAUCGAAGUUGAGUUGAUUGGCCAUGGCUGCGAUCAAGCUUAUUUUCCUUGUUUUUGGUGGAACAUACAACAAAUAACCCCUCUUCCAAGCAUUACCAACCCUCUUAUAUAUAGAAGUCUCUCCAUUGUAUGAACUGGUCAAGAUCUUUCAUCAUAAAUCUCUUGGGAUCCCCAUAUCUCUUGACAUCUGAAUCUAUUGCUAGCGUCUUGAAGGUAAAAGGAUGGUCAAGAAUCACACAGGUCCAAGCGUUUGCGUAAGUCCCAUACAUGUUAUAUGGGUCUUUAGCGUUGUUUAUAAAAUUGUCCAUUGUUACAACAAUUCAACACUGGUGAAAAUCCUAGUGGAUGUAGAAAAUUUUGAAAAGAGAAGGAAAUAGAAAAUACAAUUCAACACAGAUGAUGUACUAGAAUCGAAGGAAAAAAGGUGGAGCAGGUUUUGUUUGGACAGGGAAAAACAGGAAACACAAUCUGUGUGUUUGGUUACUUUCCCAUAUAUAAAGAAACAUGCAAAGUUCCCAUCAAGCUUGCAAGAAGCUAGCGUACUUAGCACCCAAAGAGAAGCCUCUGGAUGCACAAGAGGGCGUUCUUGGUGACCUCGACGUUCUCGUGGUACAUCAGUUUCAUCACUCGUUCUUUCGCCUUGAGGUCUGUUACGAUGACUCUCCCUGCUGCAUGGUACUACUGUAUAAACUGUGAUAGAUCAAAGCAUGCCACCGCCAGUGAUCUCGGAUCACUCGACGCAGGGGCGGAUCUACAGUAUGAAUAGGUGGGGCACGUGCCCCACACUACUUCUUAGUAAUUAGCUAGUAACAUCUUAAGAUUAAAUCCUUUAGUUCACAGUUGGUAACUGGGCGACCCAUGUGGCAUAUACUAUUUGCUUUUAGUUCUAUAUUAUUUUUCUAUUUACAGUUUAACUUUAACAAAUUUAAUUCAUAUUUUUACUGUAAAGUAUACAUAUAUCUUAAUUGAAAAAAUGUUAGGAAAAAUAGUAAAUUAGUAACAUUAAACAAAAUUAUCACUUUUGUAGUCUCUUAAUUUAUUAUUUUAGAGUUUAAAUUUGUGUUAAUAAGUAAAUUUAAUAUAUUAUAUAUAUUUAUAGUGAAUGGAAGUUUGUAACUGUCUAUUUUCUAAUUAAUAGUAAUAGAUGUAGUUAAGUAUAUUUAUAAACCAAUAGAAACAGUACUUUCAAAAAAUUAUGUGUGUUUCUUUGUAAUUGGUUGUGAUUAUUAUGUGACGAAUCGCAGCUUCACCAUCUCUGGAAUUUAGCAGUCCAGAGAGUGUCACUUUUUUGGUACCGUGGGUCACAAGUUUCUUCUGCCUCGCAAAGUGGUUCAUCAAUAAUCUUAUCUUUCAAUUCGAUCAAACAAUCAAUAACUUCUACAACAGUAAUCGAAUUGUUGUUAUCUGGGUUUAGAGUGAUGAUCUUGAGCGUUUUCUUCUCUUGCUUCACCAACGUGGCUCUUUUCACCAUGAAUGGUUGGAUUCAAGGUAUAUGUCGUUAAAUUUCUUGGACUCAACAUUGCGGCAAUGGAGGACCAUUGAAGAUGUCCACAACUUACUCGUCACGUUCUACGGUAACGUUAUAGUCAUUUUCUUUCUCAUGGUUUACUCACUUUGAUUAUUUUGUUAGAAGGAGAGAUUUUGAUUAGCCUCAACGGCCUCAAAGAGUCCGUGUGAACGACUCUCAUCCAGUGUUCUAAAAAGCGGUCUAGGCGGUCGCCUAGGCCCCGACUAGGCGCUAGGCUCUCAUCCGACGCCUAGAUAACCGCCUUGACCGCCUAAAAUUACAUAGAUCUUGUUUAAUGUAUUUUUUAAUUUCAAUUAGAGUUUUAUUUAUAUAUAUAGUUAUAAAUAUUCAUAUAUUGUUUAAUAUAAAUAUAAAUAAAUAUUUUAUCUAAUUUUUGUUUAUAAUUUCAUAAUUUUUAGUUUUAUAUAGAUAUUUUAUAUAACUUUUAUAUAUAAUAUCAUAUUGAUAAUGUUUUAUGUUAUAAACGUCUAAACCGCCUAAAAAAUCGUUUAGGCCCCGAUUAGGCGUUCUAGGCGCUAGGCACUGGGUCACCGCCCGCUUAGCGCCUAGCGCUUUCUUGAACACUGCUCUCAUCAAAUGAACACCAACAUUUGAAAGCCUAUAUUGCCAAUUAUACCCCUCUCUUCCUUUGCCUUUCUGGGGAAUGAAUGAUACUCCUCCGUCACACUACUACUAUCCCAAGCUCACGGCUUCUCCAACAAUCGCUUCCUAUUUACUAUUUUGCCACCACACUUACUUUCUUCCUUCUAAUUUCCGAUCAUCUGAUAAAAAACCCAGAAUUUCUCCUUCCCUUAGAUGGCGACGACUCCGACGCAGAGCAGCGAAACUAAACCUUUCUCUGUUCUUUUUGUCUGUCUCGGAAACAUUUGUCGGAGCCCAGCAGCUGAAGGUGUCUUUUAGAGAUUUUGUGAAGAAGAGAGAUCUCGAUUCCAAAUUCAAAAUUGAUUCCGCUGGAACCAUUGAUGAUCACGAGGUAUAACAAUAAUAAUUCAGUUUCGAAAUCUAAUUUUAGGGUUUAUGAGAGAUGCUUGAUUUGAACAAUUGGUGAAUGAUGGUUUUAUAUGUAGAAACUAGAAAGGUUUGGUUUUGGUUUUAGGGUUUUUUGGUGGAUGUAGUUUUGUCGGAAUACAGAGCUAUAGAAACUUUGAAAUUAAUGUUUCUGAAUCAAUUUUAAUAUGAAACUGCUCUUAUUACAAGGGAAGAACAAAAACAGUAAUCUAUUUUAUGAUGAUUGGAACAAUUAGUGGAUGUAAUUUGGUCGGAGUAAGAAAUUUAUGUUUGAUUUUGGCUUUAGGUUUUUAGUGGAGACCUUGGAAUUUAUGUUCCUGAUUCAGUUUUUGAUUUGUGAAACUGUUGUUUAAAAAGGGGAAUAUGGCGGAUCCAAGAAUGACAAGUGCUGCGAAACGUCGUGGGAUUGAGAUAACAUCAUUAUCUAGACCGAUUAAGGCAUCUGAUUUCAGGGACUUUGAUCUCAUUCUUGCAAUGGAUGAACAAAACAAAGGUAGAAGAUUGAGUAAUUUAUUCAACGUUAUAGAGGAAUUGUGUGGUUAGAUCGAUUUCUAUGCAAAUGGGAUUCAGCCUAGGACUAGGAAUUUGCAAGUUGAGAUCUGAUUUGUUAUGGAUUAUUGAAAUGAAUAUGAAUUUGAAUGUUUGAUGUCUGCAGAGGAUAUAUUGAAGGCCUAUAAUGUAUGGAAAGCCAGAGGGAAUUUCCCGCCCGAUGCAGAUAAGAAGGUACCGUUAGUGUUUGCUGGACUUUGGAACUCUUUUUAGGCUAUUUUCAAAACACUUUCUUUGAAAUUUUCAGGUUAAGCUAAUGUGUUCGUAUUGCAAGAAACACAAUGACAAGUUUGUUCCUGAUCCAUAUUAUGGUGGAGCUCAAGGUUUUGAGAAGGUAAUUACCAUUAGAUAUUUAAGCUGAUUGUGGAUUAGUAACUUUUGGUUUAGGCAGAUGCUACCUAUAAAAUUUCAGCUAUAUUGUCUUUUCAAAAUGGUUUAUAAGACUUUCAAAAUGGCAUGCCACUAUCACUCCCAAGUGACCUAUUUGAGAAUUUUACUGUUUGAUCUGUUUUGUUAGGACAAAACUCACUUGGAAAUUCGAAUCCUGAUCAGUGACUUGUCUACUUGUUUCUUUCACAGGUACUGGACUUGCUUCAAGAUGCUUGUGAGUCUUUGCUGGAUAGUAUCACUGCGCAAAGUUGAUGAUACUACAAGUUCAAAGUCCCAAUCCCAGAACCUUUUGUUGUUUUUGCACAUAGAAUUGAAAAUUCUCUUAUUACAUUUAAGCAUCAUCAUUGAUGUCAAUAGAGUGAGAACUGAUGUGAAGCUUGAAUCUUGUUGGUGUUUUCCUUGAAAAAACCUUUGUUAAGUGAUCUACUAAUGGAUCAUUAAUAUUGAGAUUGCUAGCUUCAAUGAUUUCAAUAGUUUGUGAGGAAUUAUCUUGCUGAUUCUUAAGAACAGAUUCGUGUAUCAUAGAGGGUGGCACUCUUGAGACAAGAAAUCGAAGAUCAGCUGAGAAAUUGGAAUGCUCAUGGCUGAUGAAUCAAGCUCGAGAAGAAGAAUGAGAAACAACAAUGGGGGAAGCAGAAUUCCUCAUAGCUCUGAUACCAUAUUAAGAGAGAGAGAGACAAAAUAAAGUGUAUUUUCUCAUUAAACUUAGAAUGAAUGUACAUGUGAGUAUCCUAUACAAGUAUAAUCUCUAACUAACUAUACAAGUAUAUGCCUUGUUUGAAAAAUCGCUAGGCGCUAGUCGGGCGCUCGGCAUGGGCCUAGCGAUUAAUCGGAAAAUCGGAUUAAAAUCGGAGAUUAAUCGGGGAUUAGUUUUAGGGUUAUUUUAAUAUGCUUAAAAUAUAUUAAUCCAAUAUUGUUUUCAAAAUUACAGUAAAAACAAUUUUUUAUGAUUUUUAUUAAAAUUUGAACACAAGUUAUGUAAAACAUCACAAACUCCCAAUUCAAAUGAUUGAAUAACAAAAAUAAAAUAUUUUUUUUAUACUUGCAAUCUAAAAAAUAAUCGGGGUAUGUAAAAUUAGGCGGAAAAUAAUCGGAUUAGGCGGGAAGUAAUCGGAUUAGGCGGAGAAUAAUCGGGUUACUGAUUUUUUAGGGGAUUAGUCAUUAAUCGAGGCGGAGAGGGUGGGCCUAGCGAUUAAGCGGGGAGUAAUCGGGGUUAGGCGGGGAUUUUUAGAACAGGGAGUAUAUGUGACGGGACUGUAUAAAGUGUAUAUAUCUAAUAACGAUUAAAUAAUAUGAACUCUUUUGUUCUAUCAUUAUUAUUAUUAGGGAGAGAAAUAGAAAAAAAGAAAGUGUGGACGUGAAGUGUUGUUGCUUGAGAUUAGGCCUUGGCACAAAUAUGGAUCCACAUAGAACCAAACCGAACCGAACCGAAAUUGAUGGGUAUGGUUCGGUUCUGGUUCUAAUAAAAAUAUCGAUUGGAUCUUGAAUUUCAGAUCUAUGGGUAUUGGUUCGGUUCGGGUAAGAACCGAGAUCCAAAUGGGUACCCGAAAAAUAUAAUCCAUUUACCUAUAUCUAUAUAUCCCAAAGCCCAAAUCCAUACAAACUUAAACCUAAACCCAAGCCCAACAACCCACUAUAUAUAUUUCAUAAACCUAAAGAGAAACCUUGUAAUAUCUGAGAUUGAAGAUCAAGACAAGCUUGAGAAAGGUAAUAUCUCUUGUCAAUUUUCUUGAAUACUUGUAAAUCUGUGUAGUCUAAGUGUCUUAAUUAUUGUCUGUUUUGAUGUUUAGAGUUUGAGUUUGGCUGCGAAGGGAAUUAAGCUGACUCACGUUUUGUUAAGAAGAUGGUGAUGGACUCUAGUAUCUAUUCAGGUCAUUUUUUCCCUUUCUCUAGUUCUAUUCUCUGUGAUUCAAAUUUCAUUUCAUUGUAUUAAAAGUCUUUUUGUACAUUUUAUUUCAGGUUUUGUGGUGUUUUUUGAUACAAUCUUUGGAGAGAAGAAAAAGGAGAAGAUUGUAAUUUGAAACAGAUUUAAAUUUCGGGUUAUUUUGGUGUCUUAAAAACUUGUGUUUUUCGGUAUCUUUGAAACUUUGGGUGUCUUUUGACAUAACACUUUCCAAGUUUCGAAUAUUUUUUGGAUUUGUAAUGGUAUGCUUACUAAUAUGUGAUUGCAUACUUACCUAAUUGCAUUUGAAUAUUGUAUUAUGAUUGUUUUGUUUUCUCGGUUCCAAAAAUACCCAAAAUAAUUUGGUUCCAAAAUUUAUUACUCGAACCGAACCGAACCGUAGAGGAACCGUAGAGGAACCGAACCGAUUUUGAUUUGGUUCCAAUAUGGUUCCUAAAUUUCAGAACCAAAAUACUAAGAACCGAACCAUUUACCCAAACGUCCAGGCCUACUUGAGAUGAUAAUAGUGGGGACAUUACUAGUUUGAAUUAUAGUCAUAUCUCCCUUAUCGAGAACAGUGAUUUUGUCGUUUGCAACAUUUUUUCCACGAAAUCUCACUAUAUUGUCAAUAGAAUCGUCAUUGGUCCUUUGUUAAAAUCACGAAAUCUCUUCUUCUUUGUUAAAAUCCUUCCUCCAUCCAUCUAGGAUCUUGCUCCAUCCUUCACCAUACUAAUGAAUUCUGCUUCUUUUUUCCUGGUCUUGGUCGCAGCCGCUAUAGGUUUCUUCAUGCUUUUCAGAAAAUUCAAAUUCCAACAAGAGAGCAAAGAUACUAAAGCUUCUUCUUUAUCUCUUCCAUCUCCUCCAACUUCAGUGUCUCGAAUCUGGAAACAUGAUGUAUUCCCGAGCUUCCAUGGGGCAGAUGUCCGAAGAACCCUUCUUAGCCACAUCAUGGAAUCGUUCAGAAGAAAGGGAAUUGACACAUUCAUUGAUAAUAAUAUAGAGAGGAGUAAGCCGAUCGGUCCUGAGCUCAAAGAAGCUAUCAAAGGAUCGAAGAUUGCGAUAGUCUUGCUCUCCAAGAACUAUGCUUCUUCUUCCUGGUGUCUUGAUGAAUUAGCGGAAAUCAUGAAGUGCAGGGAAGUGUUGGGUCAGAUAGUCAUGACUAUUUUUUAUGAAGUGGAUCCAACUGACAUAAAGAAACAAACCGGAGAUUUUGGAAAAGCCUUCAGAAAAACAUGUAAGGGUAAAACCAAAGAGCAUAUUGAGAGAUGGAGAAAAGCUUUGAAGGAUGUGGCCAUAAUCGCCGGAGAGCAUUCUCGCAACUGGUUUGUCUUUUUGAUUUCUACUCUCCUUAAUUAAUAUUUACUUAUUAGAGUUUAUUUGUAGCUUUCAAAUAAAUAUCAAGACAAGAAAAUGCAUAUGUUUUGGAUGUGUGUAUAUGAGAAUUUUUCAUGACUAGACUAAGUAACAAUUUUACUCGAUAUCAAUCAAUGUUAGGAGCAAUGAAGCGGAGAUGAUUGAAAAGAUAUCCAUUGAUGUUUCAAACAUGUUGAAUUUAUCCAUACCAUCAAGAGAUUUCGAAGGGUUAGUAGGGAUGAGAGCUCAUAUGGAUAGGAUGGAACAAUUCUUACGCCUAGAUUUGGAUGAAGUAAGGAUGAUUGGGAUUUGGGGACCGCCUGGGAUUGGUAAGACAACUAUCGCCAGAUUUCUGCUUAACCAAGUCUCCGACAGAUUUCAACUUAGUACAAUCAUGGUCAAUAUCAAAGGAUGCUAUCCAAGACCUUGUUUCGAUGAGUACACUGCACAAUUGCAACUACAAACCCAAAUGUUGUCUCAGCUGAUCAAGCAUAAAGAUAUCACAAUUUCUCAUUUAGGAGUGGCACAAGAACGUUUGAAAGACAAGAAAGUGAUUCUCGUUCUUGAUGAAGUGGACCACUUAGGACAGUUAGAAGCCUUGGCGAAAGAAAUUCAAUGGUUUGGUCCUGGAAGUCGGAUUAUUAUCACAACAGAAGAUCUUGGAGUUUUGAAGGCCCAUGGGAUCAAUCAAGUUUAUAAAGUGGAUUUUCCAUCAAGUGAUGAGGCUUUUCAAAUCUUCUGUAUGAAUGCCUUUGGUCAGAAACAACCACAUGAAGGUUUCCGUAACCUUGCUUGGGAAGUUAUCGCUCUAGCUGGUGAACUCCCUUUGGGAUUGAAGGUUCUAGGCUCCGCUCUGCGGGGGAUGUCCAAGCCAGAGUGGGAAAGGGCACUACCAAGGUUAAAAGCUAGCCUCGACGGAAAAAUAGGGAGCAUUAUACAGUUCAGUUACGAUGCCUUAUGUGACGAAGAUAAAUAUCUAUUUCUUUAUAUAGCCUGCCUUUUCAACUUUGCAUCAGUUCAUAGAGUGGAAGAGGCUCUGGCAAACAAAUUCUCACAUGUGAGGCAUGGUCUUCACGUUUUACAUGAGAAAUCUCUCAUAUCUAUUGAAUACGAAAGAAUACAGAUGCAUACUCUGCUACAACAAUUCGGAAGAAAAAUAUCCCGUAAGCAAUUCGUUCAUCAUGGCCUUACGAAACAUCAACUUUUGGUUGGUGAAAGAGAUAUAUGUGAUGUGUUCGACUAUGAUACAUCAGUAAGUUUUGCCAUUGCAUCGCCUAUAUGAAUUGAGUUUAUUUGAUAACUAAUCAUCAUUACUGAUUUUCUUCUGGCUCUAUUUCAGGAUAGUAGACGUUUUAUAGGGAUAAAUUUAGAUUUAUCUAAGACUGAGGAAGAAUUGAAUAUAAGUGAGAAAGCACUUGAAAGAAUGCAUGAUUUUCAAUUCGUUAGAAUCUAUGGUGAUGAUCUUGGCCAGACUAAGAGACUGCAAUCAGUAUUGCAAGGUCUGAUUUACCAUUCUCAAAAGAUUAGAUCACUGAAUUGGAGAUAUUUCCAGGAUAUAUGUUUGCCUUCUACUUUUAAUCCUGAGUUUCUCGUCGAACUAAAUCUGCAAGACAGCAAGCUUCAGAAGCUAUGGGAAGGAACUAAAGUAAGUAGUUUUGAUGAAAACUUUCAAUUUUUUUUUAAAUCUAUAAUUUGUUUCCGAAAAUGUUUUUUCUUAACAAACUCCAAAUUUAUAGGCCAAUCGUAUGAACAUGAUCUUCUUUGUCAAAUGCAGCAACUUAAAAAUCUCAAAUGGAUGGAUUUGGGUGGUUCUAGAGAUCUGAAAGAGCUUCCCGAUCUUUCAACAGCAACUAAUCUCGAAGAAGUAGAUCUCCAAUAUUGCUCAAGUUUAGUGGAACUUCCGUCUUCUAUUGGGAAUGCAACCAAACUUGAGCGACUGUAUCUUCGUGAUUGCUCAAGUUUAGUGGAACUUCCCUCUAUUGGGAAUGCAUCCAAACUUGAGCGGUUGUAUCUUGAUAAUUGCUCAAGUCUUGUGAAGCUUCCCUCCUCUAUCAAUGCCUCUAAUCUCCAGGAAUUGUCUCUAAAAAAUUGUUCACGUGUUGUGGAGCUCCCAGUAUCGAGAAUGCGAGUAAAUUGUGGGAAUUAAAUCUCCUAAAUUGCUCAAGUCUACUAGAGCUCCCUCCUUCUAUUGGAACUGCCACAAAUCUGAAGGAAUUGUAUAUCAGUGGAUGCUCAAGUCUCGUGAAACUCCCCUCCUCUAUUGGAGAUAUGACUAAACUCAAAAAGUUUGAUCUAUCCAACUGCUCAAGUCUUGUGGAGGUUCCAUCCGCUAUAGGAAAACUUCAAAAAUUGUCUAAGUUGAAAAUGUAUGGAUGCUCAAAGCUAGAGGUUCUUCCAACAAAUAUCGACUUGGAAUCUCUCCGUACACUUGAUCUCAGAAAUUGCUCCCAGUUGAAAAGAUUUCCUGAGAUCUCCACAAACAUUGCGUAUCUCAGGCUCACAGGAACUGCAAUAAAAGAAGUUCCUUUGUCGAUCAUGUCAUGGUCUCGUCUUUAUGACUUUGGGAUUUCAUACUUUGAAAGCCUCAAGGAAUUCCCGCAUGCUCUUGACAUCAUCACGCAGCUGCAGUUGAACGAAGAUAUACAAGAGGUUGCUCCAUGGGUCAAGGGAAUGUCUCGUUUACGUGUGCUUAGACUCUACAACUGCAACAAUCUGGUAUCACUCCCACAAUUUUCAGAUUCCCUAGCUUACAUAGAUGCAGACAAUUGUCAAUCCCUUGAGCGACUGGAUUGUACCUUUAACAAUCCAGAUAUUCAUCUCAAAUUCCCCAAAUGCUUCAAUUUGAAUCAAGAAGCCAGAGACCUCAUCAUGCACACAUCGACUUCGGAAUAUGCGAUCUUACCGGGUACACAAGUGCCUGCCUGCUUCAAUCACC